Molecule: non-coding RNA, 26 nt
Filed under: Cricetulus griseus (Chinese hamster)
Lineage: Eukaryota; Metazoa; Chordata; Mammalia; Rodentia; Cricetidae
Source: RNAcentral
ACCCUGGGUGAUCGGCUUCCUGUCUG